This 76-nucleotide transfer RNA is filed under the name Clostridiales bacterium. RNAcentral describes it as "tRNA-Thr". It matches the Rfam family "tRNA". Rfam says of the family: Transfer RNA (tRNA) molecules are approximately 80 nucleotides in length. Their secondary structure includes four short double-helical elements and three loops (D, anti-codon, and T loops). RNAcentral also lists the same sequence under 1 other name. Lineage: Bacteria; Bacillati; Bacillota; Clostridia; Eubacteriales. The record is from RNAcentral.
GCUGCUAUGGCUCAGUCGGCAGAGCGCGUCCUUGGUAAGGACGAGGUCACCGGUUCGAUUCCGGUUAGCAGCUCCA